AGAAUCAACGCUGGCGGCGUGCCUAACACAUGCAAGUCGAACGAGAAAGUGGAGCAAUCCAUGAGUAAAGUGGCGCACGGGUGAGUAACACGUGACUAACCUACCCUCGAGUGGGGAAUAACCUCGGGAAACCGGGGCUAACACCGCAUAACAUCUACGGAUCAAAUGCGUAAGCAGCUUGAGGAGGGGGUCGCGGCUGAUUAGCUAGUUGGCGGGGUAAUGGCCCACCAAGACGAUGAUCUGUA
RNAcentral lists this ribosomal RNA (245 nucleotides) under uncultured bacterium. RNAcentral's name for it is "partial small subunit ribosomal RNA". It matches the Rfam family "Bacterial small subunit ribosomal RNA", at positions 26 to 285 of the family's 1533-position model. The record is from RNAcentral.